Molecule: ribosomal RNA, 369 nt
Filed under: Penaeus brasiliensis (pinkspotted shrimp)
Lineage: Eukaryota; Metazoa; Arthropoda; Malacostraca; Decapoda; Penaeidae
Description: partial 12S ribosomal RNA
Source: RNAcentral
UGUUACACUUUAUAUAAAUUAUGAUAUUACCUGGGUAUUAAACAGUUAUUGUCUUGAAACUCAAAGGAUUUGGCGGUAAUUUAGUCUAUUUAGAGGAACCUGUCCUGUAAUCGAUAGUCCACGAAAAAUCUUACUUUAUCUUGUAGAAAACAGUUUGUAUACCGUCAUUAUUAGAUAACUUUAAUAAAAUGUAAAGUUAUUGAAAGAGCAUAGCUAAUAUAUUAGAUCAAGGUGCAGCUUAUGGUAAAGGAAGAGAUGGGUUACAAUAUAUUAAAUAUAAACGGAAUAAUAAUUGAAUAUUUAUUAUUGAAGGUGGAUUUAAAAGUAAGAAGAUUUUAAUAAGAUCUUUUGACCCUAGCCCUAGAUUAU